This 466-nucleotide ribosomal RNA is filed under the name uncultured bacterium. RNAcentral describes it as "partial 16S ribosomal RNA". It matches the Rfam family "Bacterial small subunit ribosomal RNA", at positions 29 to 506 of the family's 1533-position model. The record is from RNAcentral.
ACGAACGCUGGCGGCGUGCUUAACCCAUGCCAGUCGCACGGAAAGGCCCUGCUUUUGUGGGGUGCUCGAGUGGCGAACGGGUGAGUAACACGUGAGUAACCUGCCCUUGACUUUGGGAUAACUUCAGGAAACUGGGGCUAAUACCGGAUAGGAGCUCCUGCUGCAUGGUGGGGGUUGGAAAGUUUCGGCGGUUGGGGAUGGACUCGCGGCUUAUCAGCUUGUUGGUGGGGUAGUGGCUUACCAAGGCUUUGACGGGUAGCCGGCCUGAGAGGGUGACCGGCCACAUUGGGACUGAGAUACGGCCCAGACUCCUACGGGGGGCAGCAGUGGGGAAUAUUGCACAAGGGGCGGAAGCCUGAUGCAGCAACCCCGCGUGCGGGAUGACGGCCUUCGGGUUGUAAACCUCUUUCGCCUGUGACGAAGCGGGGGUGAGGGUAAUGGGUAAAGAAGCCCCGGCUAACUACGU